RNAcentral lists this ribosomal RNA (443 nucleotides) under uncultured bacterium. RNAcentral's name for it is "partial 16S ribosomal RNA". It matches the Rfam family "Bacterial small subunit ribosomal RNA", at positions 338 to 795 of the family's 1533-position model. The record is from RNAcentral.
CCUACGGGAGGCAGCAGUGGGGAAUAUUGGGCAAUGGGCGCAAGCCUGACCCAGCAACGCCGCGUGAAGGAAGAAGGCUUUCGGGUUGUAAACUUCUUUUCUCAGGGACGAAGCAAGUGACGGUACCUGAGGAAUAAGCCACGGCUAACUACGUGCCAGCAGCCGCGGUAAUACGUAGGUGGCAAGCGUUAUCCGGAUUUACUGGGUGUAAAGGGCGUGUAGGCGGGGACGCAAGUCAGAUGUGAAAACCACGGGCUCAACCUGUGGCCUGCAUUUGAACCUGUGUUCCUUGAGUACUGGAGAGGCAGACGGAAGUCCUAGUGUAGCGGUGAAAUGCGGAGAUAUUAGGAGGAACACCAGUGGCGAAGGCGGUCUGCUGGACAGCAACUGACGCUGAGGCGCGAAAGCGUGGGGAGCAAACAGGAUUAGAGACCCGAGUAGUC